AACGAACGCUGGCGGCAUGCCUAACACAUGCAAGUCGAACGAGACCUUCGGGUCUAGUGGCGCACGGGUGCGUAACGCGUGGGAAUCUGCCCUUGGGUUCGGAAUAACAGUUAGAAAUGACUGCUAAUACCGGAUAAUGUCUUCGGACCAAAGAUUUAUCGCCCAGGGAUGAGCCCGCGUAGGAUUAGCUAGUUGGUGAGGUAAAGGCUCACCAAGGCGACGAUCCUUAGCUGGUCUGAGAGGAUGAUCAGCCACACUGGGACUGAGACACGGCCCAGACUCCUACGGGAGGCAGCAGUGGGGAAUAUUGGACAAUGGGCGAAAGCCUGAUCCAGCAAUGCCGCGUGAGUGAUGAAGGCCUUAGGGUUGUAAAGCUCUUUUACCCGGGAUGAUAAUGAC
This 399-nucleotide ribosomal RNA is filed under the name uncultured bacterium. RNAcentral describes it as "bacterial SSU rRNA". It matches the Rfam family "Bacterial small subunit ribosomal RNA", at positions 29 to 455 of the family's 1533-position model. The record is from RNAcentral.